GAUGGGGGCCGUCCUAUCGCUGGUUUGGAAACAAACUGGAGGAAAGUCUGGACAGCGCAGGGCACCAUACUUCCUAACGGGAAGGCAGCCGGUUGGGAACGACCGGCUGACAGACAGUGCCACAGAAAAUAUACCGCCAAUUGGUAAGGGUGAAAUGGUGGGGUAAGAGCCUACCGCCCGCCGGGCGACCGACGGGGCAGGGUAAACCUUAUGGGCUGAAAGACCAAAUAUGCGGCAGAUUAGGGGCGGCUCGUUCCUGUAGGCUUUCGGGCCGAUGCUGUCGCGGGUAGGUCGAUAGAGGUCGUCGGUGACGGCGAUUCGAGAUAAAUGAUAGGAGCCUGAAGGGGUGGUUUUGCCAUCCGUUUGGGAACAGAAUCCGGCUUAUAAGCCCCCAUCGCUU
Molecule: RNase P RNA, 400 nt
Filed under: Cytophagales bacterium
Lineage: Bacteria; Pseudomonadati; Bacteroidota; Cytophagia; Cytophagales
Description: RNase P RNA component class A
Rfam family: Bacterial RNase P class A
About the family: Ribonuclease P (RNase P) is a ubiquitous endoribonuclease, found in archaea, bacteria and eukarya as well as chloroplasts and mitochondria. Its best characterised activity is the generation of mature 5'-ends of tRNAs by cleaving the 5'-leader elements of precursor-tRNAs.
Source: RNAcentral